Molecule: unclassified non-coding RNA, 413 nt
Filed under: soil metagenome
Description: partial contains 5.8S ribosomal RNA, internal transcribed spacer 2, and large subunit ribosomal RNA
Rfam family: 5.8S ribosomal RNA (bases 1-120)
Source: RNAcentral
GAUGAAGAACGCAGCUAAAUGCGAUAAGUAAUGUGAAUUGCAGAAUUCAGUGAAUCAUCGAAUCUUUGAACGCACCUUGCGCUCUUUGGUAUUCCGAAGAGCAUGCCUGUUUGAGUGUCAUGAAAAUAUCAACCUUGACUUGGGUUUUGUGCUCUAGUCUCGGCUUGGAAUUGGGUGCUUGCCGCUUUUACGAGCGGCUCACCUUAAAUGUAUUAGCUGGAUCUGUCUUUGAGACUUGGUUUGACUUGGCGUAAUAAGUAUUUCGCUAAGGACAUUCUUCGGAGUGGCCUCGUUUCUAGGACGCUUGUCCGCUUUCCAAUACAAGUUCCACCUCGUGGACAUGACUUUUUAUUAUCUGGCCUCAAAUCAGGUAGGACUACCCGCUGAACUUAAGCAUAUCAAUAAGCGGAGGA